AUCAUAUUUCAAUCGAUCAGCUCUCACUGUUCUGUGCACACAACGUUAACAAGGACGGAGAGAAAGAAAGAAAAAAGUCCAUUCAACACCACUGACUGCUAUUUUAACCCUUUCAAAGGUGGGUUUUUAAGUCAUUAAAAUUCGAUCAAAUCACCGUAAAACCAGAUUUAAAAAAAAAAAAAAAAGCUUGAAUAUUAUUUUUAAACUGUUUACAGAAUUCAGGACAUGGUACAACGUAAAAAGUUAUAGAACUUUCAGAAAAAAGUAAAACAAGCACAUCUUAAAAGCUUCUCAAUAACAAUGCAUCCUCCUACCACCCCAUUUCAGUGUUUUAGGAUCCAAAACAUGGUUCUCCAGAUAAAGGAAUGUCCCCACACGAGAUACAGGAGUAAUCUGUCUCCAUACGAAGAACCAUUUUUUCCAGUAACUAUUUACAUAAUUCAGAGGUGCUGGAAUAUAAAAAGGCAAAAAAUCUCAAUAACUAUGUGUGUAUUCCCUUCACCAUGAGGUGUGUAGCUAUGACUUUAAAUAACUACUGACCUCUGUCAACCAACAUGUAAUGACACCAAGGGUUGUUUUAAUGUAGAAGUCAAAAUCUGGAGAAAUAAAAAUAAUCCUCCAGUAAUAAGACCACAAACUGAGCUUUCCCUCCCAUUUAACUUAAACGUCUGUUGAUAAUUCCUGCCUAAUUUAAUAUAAAGCAAACGUGUGGGGAAAAAAUGUAGUUCCUUCAUGUAGAAUUUAAAAUGCUUGUACUAAUAUCCUGGGGUCUAAAUAUAUUGCUGUUAUAUUACUGUUCUAACUGACACAGUUACUCCAAUAGAAUAUUUUUUUUAAAUAAAUUUUGUUGCUCGAUUAAAUAUUCAUCAGGGAUUCAGAGCUUAAAAUGUUAUCAAAAUAAAUACAUUCAACCACGGUUAAUUUUUUUAUUCAACACCACACUAUACUCGUAACUCAUAACUUAUUGCCAGUACUGAAGGGAUAAAAACUAGUGUGUAGGGCUUCUCAAACCUGGUCCUGGCCCCCCCCCCCUGUGUCUGCUGGUUUUCAUUCCAACCGAGCUCUCAAUUACUGAACUAGACCCUUGAACUAGUUAUUUGCUUAAUUUGACAUUUUUUUACUUGUUUUCAGCUCUUAAACAGUUGCAGUUCAAGUUACUUAUCAAAUGUUAUAGCUAACUUGAAAUAUGCAACAGUUCAAGAGCUGAAAACUAGUAAAAAGGUCUAAUUAAGCAAAUUAUCAGUUCAAUUAAGGGUCUAGUUAAGUAAUUGAGAGCUCGGUUGGAAUGAAAACCAGCAGACACAGGGGGUCCCCAGGACCGUGUUUGACAAGCCCUGGACUAGUGGAUAACUUGACCUCUGACUGGAAAUGGAUUGUUAAUUCAUUCAUUCAUUCAUUCAUUCAUUCAUGCAUUCACCAACUGCAGCUGGUUACAGUAUCCAUUAAUAAUGAGAAUGGAAUUUGGUUUUGCAUUAAAGCUUGUGAAAGUGUAGAAGUGCCAUUUUGUAAACAAGUCAUGUGCAGCAACACCAUGUUGUUCUACUCUGUGAGCUCCCUUGUGUGCAGGACAUCAAGAAAGGCUAUUAAUAUAGAGAGGCAAUGCUUCAUUUGUGCCGGAGCCCCGACACCUCUGGACUCGCCGCAUUGGUUACAAAUGGGGGGAAAAAAAAUAAUCUAAAUUCUUUUGCUUUGGAAUGUGGUUUUCUUUAAAUUGUCGACCUAAUUUGUAUUGUAUCCAUUCUGUAAGUUCUUUCGUGUGCGAGAUUCAUGAGUUGGCACUGCAGGAUUAGGGUAAGGAAAACUUUUUUUGUUUUCUUUUUUUCUAAGUUUGGCGACAUUUGUUUGGUCCAUACUAAAAUAGAAUUGAUUGAUUUCCAUUAACAACAUUCCUUAAUAAUUUAGAAGACAAAGUAAACAUAGUUGACUAGUUUUAUUGGUUGUUGAUGUAUUUAAAAGUUGUUAUUGUGAUGUAAGCUCGCUGUUCGUAUAAUAUAGUACUGCAGUUAUCGUUGUUUUAACCAAACAAAGAUUGGUUGUGGAGAAUGUGUCCUACAGUUUUUUAAAAUUUAUUUUUCUGCACAAGCUGCUGCUUUGUGUAUGAUGUAGAAUAUGUGGUUGUAAUAAAACAUCUAACAUUAGUACGAAGUCACAUAUGCGUAUGUUGAUAUUUAUAAUUUCUUCUAGGAUUAAGUCGUUAUCAUUAGGAGACAUUUAAAUAAUCUGCAUUUUCUUUAUUUAUUUAUUUUUUUAAUGCGAGUAAAUAACAUGGGAAGUAUAUCACAGUUACAUAAGUCCAUUGAAAUAAAGAUUGUUAAUUUCUUAAUUUAAUUCAUGGUAACUUUAUGAAAGUUCAGCUUUUUACGUGUCAAAAGGAGUUGGAAGUCUUUAAAAAAUGGCCUUUACUGAACAUUAAAGACCAUCUAAACCGUAACACUCCCUAGUAGGUGAUUUCCCGCCCCCCCAAACAUAUUUUUUAAAAGCUGAGUUCGUAGAAGAUGUGUAUUUUCUACUAUCAAACAAAUACACGAAAUAAAGUAUACUGUAAAUAAAUAAAUAAAGUAUUAAAAUUCAAAUUAUUGACGUAACAUUUUGACUUUUUCUGUAAUUGUCAAGGUGAAUCCUUGAGUUGCACCAGUCCAUGCUAAUCUUCUAUAACAGAGAACUCAACAGCCUUCAGCCCAGUGCUAACUUGCAGUACAGAGCCUAAAGAAUCAGUUUCAUCUUUGAAAGCCAACUGCUUCCUUCGGUUUGAGAUACCAUGGGAAAAAUUGCCAACUGACCUGCUUUAUAAGCUAGAAAAACAAGAAAGGCCAUACCCAAAGCAACGACAAGCAAUGUUGCGAAUUAUCAUUAAUGAAGUCACAAGCGUCUGCAAGAGACCGUCAAAGAAAUAUCUUACAGAGAUAGCAAGGAAAAUGGUGUUAAAAUAUCACAAGUCUUUGCAAGAUGUUAUUGAAGGCCAAAUAGUUGGAAGCAGGUAUGAUUCCUUGGUAAAACAGCUGCGGCAAGAGCAGAAAAUGUAAAGCGCACAAUUUCUUUUACCAAAGGGCAGCUUCAACAAUCUGGUGGGAGUGACACAGAAGAAAUUCCCUCAAAGAAACAAGCUUCACCUCAGGACACUUAUGGCUGUAUUAAUUGGGAUCCUGCGCAGUUGCCAAAAACAGAGACAGUGACAAGUAAAAUAAAGCAACAAGAAGAAAUGAAAACCAUGUUCACAGAAAGAAACUGGAUUCACAGAUUAUUACCAAAAAAAAUGAUGGCAACCUUUUACACGCAGAGAAAAGACAUCAUCCGAGGUAUGGCAACUGAAAAACUAAAGAAGGAAUGGCCAUUUCUGUUUGAGAUGUCAGAAAUUCAGGCACACUUCAGGGAGCUGACAGGUGUGCAGUUAGAUGGGACAUAUUCUGAGUCUUUAAAAAGCAAAGGACAAGGAAUUCUGGCCUACAAGAAGACCAAGAGUACAAAAAAGUAGAACAAUUUGUAGAAAUCUUGACACACAAAGAAGGACUUGACGAUUGUUUCCAGAGAUGCCAGGGUUAAUUUUGCUGCUGCUACUUGGCUAUUUCAAUGAAGACGACCAGCAAAUGCUUUUUUUAGGUGGAUGACAAAUGUUUACCAUCUGAAGUGAAAACAUCUGACCUGCCUGCAUCACCCUGCAUCAUUUUCUGUGGAAACUCCCUUCUGACUGCUUCGUGCUUUUACGCUGAGCAUCGACAAAGUUGUAGUUAAUGAAGACAGCCCCAGCUUCUGGCAGCUUUCAUCAUGAUGUUUGCAUUAUACUACCUCUUGAACAUACAGUACCUGGCAGAGUUGGGAGCAACACUGGCAAGUCCUUCAGAGGUGCAUCUUUAAAAUAAAUCCUGACAAAGGGACCAAGGUAGAACGCAAACCAUCUAAGAGACAAUAUGCUGUGAAUCCCAGAGUUCUUUCCCUCAUUUCUGCAGUUGCUGAUUUUGAAUGGAGAGAAAUAAAAAAUAAAAAGUUGCCUUAGGUUGAUUAUUUGUAUCUAGUAAGUUGCUAUUAUGAUUGACAACGAAGGCCCUGAAGUUCUUAGUUGGGCCUUAACAAUUCUACAGAUAUGUACUUUAAAGAUCUUUGCUCAGGUUUGUGACAAUCCGUCCCUAUUACUACAUAUUUUAAGAGUAAUACUGUAAAAUGUAAUGGUAUAACAUAAAUGUGGGUGUACAUAUAAGAUAGAAAUUGUUGAUCGUUCACUUCAACAAGCGAGUGUCGUUGAUGAGACUGUUUUUAGUGAUUCACGUGGGCGUAAUAGACUCUGAGAGCAACUCAUGAUCAACAAUUUCUAUGUGGUUACACAGUCAACAUCUUAAAAGUAUACUGACUCUUUAAAAUAUAUACAUCUUGUAAUAGGGACGAAUUGUCGUGCAUCCACUUUGCUCUGGCAAAAGUUUUUUUUUUUUUUGACCAAGUUAAACAUUUUCUCAUUCUACCCACAAUGUCAAUAUCCACAUAGGAUUCAAGUCAAGGUAGGCCUUUCCACCACUAGCUUGCGUGGGAUUGUGUCUUUCCAUAUGGAGCAGUCAGCUGAAAUUAAAUAAGUUGCUCUUUUAAUUUCAAGUACAGAAUGACUUCAGGUAGUUUAAUAUCUUUGUAUUUCCACUCAGACAGCUCAAGGCAUGCCAUAGUUAUAAUUAUAAUGGGAUGUGGAGGCUUUUGUUCUUGUUAAGAAAUAAGUGUAUAAGCAUUUUAAUUGAUCAUUAUUCAGUUCAUCUUCAUUGAUAUCAGAGGAUUAUUUGCCAAAAUAUAAGAAUUUCUUUGUUAAAUUACAGAGGAUGUUCAUGAAUAUCAAUCUAUUUGUUUGCUUUGAUGUUUCUAAACAGAACUUAUGUUUUGACUUCUUAAAAUGUCUUAUUUGUAAGAAGGAAGCACCUUGUGAGCAGAGUUUUGCUAAAAGAGGAUUAUAAAUCUUUUGCAACCGUACAAAUGUUUUUGUAUUGAUCCGCUAGUUUUCCAUAUACAGACAGACCUCCUUUUCAUUCUGUAGUAGCAUUGAAAUCAACCUGUGUGUAAUUUAUUUAUUGUACUGCAGUGUAUUUUAAUUUUGAAUAUUGUAUCAAAUAAAAAUGUAUCUCUUGCUUA
Long non-coding RNA from Acipenser ruthenus (sterlet), 5100 nucleotides. RefSeq lists it as uncharacterized. Lineage: Eukaryota; Metazoa; Chordata; Actinopteri; Acipenseriformes; Acipenseridae. The transcript is spliced from 3 exons. The record is from RefSeq and is a predicted model, not a curated record.